RNAcentral lists this ribosomal RNA (253 nucleotides) under uncultured prokaryote. RNAcentral's name for it is "partial 16S ribosomal RNA". It matches the Rfam family "Bacterial small subunit ribosomal RNA", at positions 524 to 776 of the family's 1533-position model. The record is from RNAcentral.
GACGAGCCGAGCGAACGUUGUUCGGAAUCACUGGGCUUAAAGGGCGCGUAGGCGGGCGGCCAAGUCAGAGGUGAAAGCCCACGGCUCAACCGUGGAAGUGCCCCUGAUACUGGUUGUCUUGAGGGAGAUAGGGGCGUGCGGAACUUCCGGUGGAGCGGUGAAAUGCGUAGAUAUCGGAAGGAACACCGGUGGCGAAAGCGGCGCGCUGGAUCUCUACUGACGCUGAGGCGCGAAAGCCAGGGGAGCAAACGGG